Molecule: ribosomal RNA, 469 nt
Filed under: uncultured bacterium
Lineage: Bacteria
Description: partial 16S ribosomal RNA
Rfam family: Bacterial small subunit ribosomal RNA
Source: RNAcentral
GACGAACGCUGGCGGCGUGCUUAACACAUGCAAGUCGAACGGAAAGGCCCUGCUUGCAGGGUGCUCGAGUGGCGAACGGGUGAGUAACACGUGGGUGAUCUGCCCCUUACUUUGGGAUAAGCCUGGGAAACUGGGUCUAAUACUGGAUAGGACCAUGCUGUAGGUGGUGUGGUGGAAAGAUUAGUUUCGGUAAGGGAUGAGCUCGCGGCCUAUCAGCUUGUUGGUGGGGUAAUGGCCUACCAAGGCGUCGACGGGUAGCCGGCCUGGGAGGGUGGACGGCCACAUUGGGACUGAGAUACGGCCCAGACUCCUACGGGAGGCAGCAGUGGGGAAUAUUGCACAAUGGGCGCAAGCCUGAUGCAGCGACGCCGCGUGGGGGAUGACGGCCUUCGGGUUGUAAACUCCUUUCAGCCAUGACGAAGCCCUUGUGGUGACGGUAGUGGUAGAAGAAGCACCGGCUAACUACGUG